Erinaceus europaeus (western European hedgehog) is the source of this 346-nucleotide non-coding RNA. The record is from Rfam. Lineage: Eukaryota; Metazoa; Chordata; Mammalia; Eulipotyphla; Erinaceidae.
GGAUGUGAGGGUGAUCUGGCUGCGACAUCUGUCACCCCAGGGUUGAUCGCCAGGGUUGAUUCGGCUGAUCUGGCUGGCUAGGUGGGUGACCCCUUCCUCCCUCACUGCUCCAUGUGAAUCCCUCCCAAAGCUGCGCGCUCGGUCCGAAAAGGAUGGCCUUCCCCGAAUAGAGACGGACUGGUCUUCGGUCAAGGGUAUACGAAUAGCUGUGCUCCCCUGCUAGAACCUCCAAACAAGCUCUCAAGAAUCCACAACUCCUGCAGUAAUUUUCUGUAGGGAAACUGUGAGGAUGUGGUAGAGCCUGGCAGGGCUUGACCUGAGGGGUGCAUCCGUCCUGUCAGUCCCU